GCCAGGUGUGGUGGCUCAUGCCUGUAACCCAGCACUUUGGGAGGCUGAGGUGGGCAGAUCAGCUUAAGCCAAGCAUCAAGCCUGCAAUGAGCUGUGAUUGUGCCACUGCACUGCAGUCUGGGCAACAGAGCAAGACCCUAUCNGAUAGGGUCUUGCUCUGUUGCCCAGACUGCAGUGCAGUGGCACAAUCACAGCUCAUUGCAGGCUUGAUGCUUGGCUUAAGCUAUUCUCCCACCUCAG
This 240-nucleotide signal recognition particle RNA is filed under the name Chlorocebus sabaeus (green monkey). Its description in RNAcentral is "Metazoan signal recognition particle RNA". It matches the Rfam family "Metazoan signal recognition particle RNA". From Rfam's summary of the family: The signal recognition particle (SRP) is a universally conserved ribonucleoprotein. It is involved in the co-translational targeting of proteins to membranes. The record is from Rfam by way of RNAcentral. Lineage: Eukaryota; Metazoa; Chordata; Mammalia; Primates; Cercopithecidae.